Molecule: long non-coding RNA, 289 nt
Organism: Ahaetulla prasina
Lineage: Eukaryota; Metazoa; Chordata; Lepidosauria; Squamata; Colubridae
Exons: 2
Source: RefSeq, a predicted model, not a curated record
AUUGAGUUCACCCUGCCAGGGCUUGCAAAGGCGGAAAAGGCGUGAAGGGAAGGGAAGCCGACGGGGAGGAAGGUGGGUGAGCGGAAGCAGCGAGCGAGGUAUGUCACCUGGCUGAGAUUCAAUUAGUGAUCCAUUUAUAUUCCAGGAUAUAUUCACACAUAAUAUUACUAAACUAGAUAGCUGCCAUUCAAUAUCUGUUUGAUUCCCAUCCUCCCUAAAAUGUACAAGUUUUUAUUUUCAUGAAAUAUCCAUCCAUUUCCCUCAUCUACUAAAAUCAUUCUGCAUGUUG